This 497-nucleotide ribosomal RNA is filed under the name uncultured bacterium. Its description in RNAcentral is "partial 16S ribosomal RNA". It matches the Rfam family "Bacterial small subunit ribosomal RNA", at positions 28 to 507 of the family's 1533-position model. The record is from RNAcentral.
GAUGAACGCUGGCGGCAUGCCUAAUACAUGCAAGUCGAGCGAACGGACGAGAAGCUUGCUUCCAUGCAGUUAGCGGCGGACGGGUGAGUAACACGUAGAUAACCUACAUAUAAGACUGGGACAACUUCGGGAGACCGGAGAUAAUACAGGAUGAUAUUUUGAACCGCAUGGAUCAAAAGUGAAAGACGGUCUGGCUGUCACUUAUAGAUGGAUCCGAGCUGCAUUAGCUAGUUGGUAAGGUAACGGCUUACCAAGGCAACGAUGUGUAGCCGACCUGAGAGGGUGAUCAGCCACACUGGAACUGAGACACGGUCCAGACUCCUACGGGAGGCAGCAGUGGGGAAUCUUCCACAAUGGGCGAAAGCCUGACGGAGCAACGCCGCGUGAGUGAUGAAGGUCUUCGGAUCGUAAAGCUCUGUUAUUAGGGAAGAACAUAAGUGUGAGUAACUGUGCACAUCAUGACGGUACCUAAUGAGAAAGCCACGGCUAACUACGUG